GUACACACCGCCCGUCGCUCCUACCGAUUGAAUGAACCGGUGAAUUGUUCGGAUUGUGGCUCUAGCCAGCGGGGCAACUCGUUGGCUGGGUUGUGAGAAGUUCAAUAAACCUUUUCAUUUAGAGGAAGGAGAAGUCGUAACAAGGUAWCCGUAGGUGAACCUGCAGAAGGAUCA
RNAcentral lists this ribosomal RNA (174 nucleotides) under uncultured eukaryote. RNAcentral describes it as "partial small subunit ribosomal RNA". The record is from RNAcentral.